AUGGUGAAUGUUGUAUUUGCUGGUAACUGGGCAACUCUGUGCCAUGAUAAGCUGUGGGAGCAGAUUGAAUCUGAGUAUGCAUGUGUACCCAAGGAUAAAGAGCAUCGUUUAUUGUCCAUACAGAAAGUUCUCUUUUUGAGCUGCAAUAGGUCUAGAAAAUUAUGCAUGAAACUAGAAUAUAAUGGAUUGCAUUGUCCAGUCUCAUCAGAGACUAUGGGCAACAGGGCUUGCAUUGUGGUAAUGAGAUUCUUGUUGUCGUCUGAGCUUUUAUCUGCGCAUUCGGGCCUCAGGUUUUCCUUUCAGCAUGUUCCUCCUUUCCUUUUUAUCUUUCUUUUUAACCUUUUUUAA
RNAcentral lists this ribosomal RNA (348 nucleotides) under Triticum aestivum (bread wheat). RNAcentral's name for it is "partial small subunit ribosomal RNA". The record is from RNAcentral. Lineage: Eukaryota; Viridiplantae; Streptophyta; Magnoliopsida; Poales; Poaceae.